GGUCUGCUGGCCCAAUGGUUAAGGCGCUUGACUACGAAUCAAGAGAUUCCAGGUUCGACUCCUGGGUAGAUCA
Molecule: transfer RNA, 73 nt
Filed under: Microbotryum lychnidis-dioicae p1A1 Lamole
Lineage: Eukaryota; Fungi; Basidiomycota; Microbotryomycetes; Microbotryales; Microbotryaceae
Description: tRNA-Arg (ACG) (tRNA-Arg-ACG-2-1)
Rfam family: tRNA
About the family: Transfer RNA (tRNA) molecules are approximately 80 nucleotides in length. Their secondary structure includes four short double-helical elements and three loops (D, anti-codon, and T loops).
Source: RNAcentral